ACGUCUCGUCUCUCGUUCAACUCCCAUCCCGGAUCUCGCAUCUCUCUCACCCACGACACGUGAUCCCACCUCCUCGUGGCGCAGUCCAUGCCCGCCCCAUCGGAAAAUCGCCUCCGUCUCCGCCUAGCCGUCGAUGUCCUACUUAUCUUUUCUUUCGUCGGAAAGGCCAUAAGGGAGGAUCUGUUUUUCUGGGCGGCCAUGAGCUCCAUCCCCAGAUCGGUGGCGCACCACACCCCUGAAGAAUGGGUAUGUAUCCAAUUUUUAUCUGGAGUUAUUGGGCUUGCUGCUGCUAGCUCUUCCACGCUCUUGGCACAUAGCCAUGCGGUGGUGAGCGACAGUAGCAACGUUGAGUUUUGGGGGCCGUCGGCGUCGUGGAACUCGGUGUGGCUGAAGGUACUCUAUCAGGUAAUCGGGUGGAUCACCUUCUUUCCUGGUCCUUCAUCUUCUACCUGUAGGUUGUCCUCUACUACAAGAGCAAGAGGUGCUCCUUCUAUCCCUUUCCUUUGUCCUUGGCUAUAGUCUAUUUGGGCUAGAUUUGUUUGACCAGCUGUUCGUCUGUUCCUCAGCCUGCGGUUCUGAGGAUUCACUUAAUCUGCUCACAAAACAGACUUUGCUUCCUUUGUCAUAUAUGUGUCUUGAUUUUGGAAGAAAGAAAAACGACCUUGAGAAAUUUGUCUGGUACCAUGUCAAAUGUCUAGAAAAUGCAGUUUUCUUUGAGCUGACGAUGAACCGUGUCUUCAGGCAGAUGCAAAUUCUAGGAAAUUGCCUCGAUUGCUUUGCUCCUAUGGCAAGAUAGUGGCCCUGUUUAUUGGAGGGUGUCAUGUAUGCAAAGUACAGGCAAAGAAACAAAACAAAAAGCAGUUACCAGUUAGCACCGAGUAGAACGAACCUUUUCCUUGUGGUGCUUAUAAACUACUCCAUCCGAUCCAAACAGAAGUGUCGUGGUUUUUUUGGGUUGGAGGGAGUAUUUAAUGUACGCUUUGUUGUCCAUCUAUUAUUAUUGUUGUAUAACGAUUCUUGCUGGUAUGGCUAAAUAAAAAUCACGACCAAGAAGAAGAGACAAGGUAUAAGAAUAAGCCAUUACGAUAUCCGGAUCAGAUCGAAAUCAGGGAAAUCGUUAUGAAACCAGAGAUACAGUAAAAAAAGGUUUUUAAGUAGUAAAUUAAGGGUUUUGGUGCUUUGCACAACUGCAUGAAAAAUGAGAGUAUAAAUUUUGGACCUGUCAAGAUUUGUAAUUGUGGCAGUAUGGUCUGAUUGUGUUUAUUUUAGUAACCAGCUCAUCCUCCAUGACAUUGCUCUUCAUAGGUAUUGCUUUUCCUUGCCCAUUCCUAUAAGGCUAUAACUAAUUAAGCUUCAUCUUAAAAAAUAGGUUUAUCAUUCCACCCUUAAGAAAGAGGUUAUGCACAGAGAAGUGACCUUCAAGUGUGAAGCCAGAUGCAAAAACAACACAUGUUGAUGCAAUUGUUCCACACCCUCUUAAUUCUUUUCCUAUCUGACCAAAUGGUAUCUACUCUUUGUCCAGAUGUUGCAAAAAGGAAUGAAUUAUUGAAUGUUUGCUGCUCCAGAGUUUGCUAGAUUGUGGUUUUUUUUAGCAAAACUGAUAAUUUGUGUAAAUUUGGAAUUUUAUAUGAUGGUAAGAACUUUCUUUGUGCAUGAUUGUUGAUAAAUUAUUUUAUUUGAGAUUUGAUAAGCUGGAUUUAGGUAGCGCUUGUAGGCUAGCGUACCAUUCCAUCGCAUCAAGAUAAUAUAUAUAUUGUGGAUAAUGUUCAAUAUUAGUGCAACAUGCAAGAACGUUUUCCAAUUGUUGAUAAUUAGCUUCAGCCUUCGCACCAUCUAUAGUAUUUCUGCUUCAAAGGAUCGAUCUGAGAGGUCAUAAGAGUAGUGUUGGUAAGGGCAUUUAAUUUGUUCCAACUAUAUCUGUCUUUCUGUUCUUGUACUUUUCGCAUGUUUUUGUACCAGUAUUACAAAGCUUUCAUCCAAGUCGAGGCAAAUAGAGAUGGUGCUGGAGCUGUCUUGCCGCAUUGCGCGCCGAUGAACAUCAAUCCACGCAAAGUCAGUGCAAAAGCCAAUAAAAUUGAUAAGUUAUGGCACUGAAUUUGUUAGGAUAUUAUAAGAAUACAGUUGAAAAAAGGAUUAUGUGUUGUCUAUAAUUUAUGACCAAUAUGAGCCCCCCUUUGGUUAAAGAUAACUUUACAUAAUAACAUUGUUUCAUAAUGUGAUAUUUAAUCCUAAGAGAACAAAUUAAUUCGAUUUAGGUGAUGAUGUGUUUCAUCGUCCCUUUAGCCUAAUAACAUAUUAUCUCACUGAAGGUUUCUUUUAUGCUUUCAAUAGAGUAACUGUCUAGAUUUUAGUAAUGAAUGUUUUCAAAUGUUAAAAUGCCAGUCUUCGGGGAAGGCAUACAAAUAGAACAAUGUUUGUUUUUGUGAACUGAAUCAUGUCAAAGAUUAUGUAGUUACUUUGAUGAAAAUAAAACCAUUGUAUGCACUCAGUACUCGGCAUAACAGAAAUUAUGUUUAACCUCAUCUAUAGUACCUAAAUAGUUCAUCCCCACUAUGUAAUUUCUCUUGACAUGCAGCCUAUCCACAUCAGCAAUCUAGCCACGUCAGCGUUCCUCUACCGGCUUACAGGAGGGACCCACCGUCUAUUAAUCAGCGUACACAAUGACCACAUCAGCGUUCGGUUGCCAGGUACACACCACAUACUGAUGCGUACAAAAUGCAGCGUCCCGACCCAAUCAUCUUCCCCUCCCCACUCAUCUCAAUUAAUUUCCCACCCAUCUCCCCAAUUAACUCCACCAUCCGUGGCUCUCCCCAUUCAUCUUCUCCGCUGAAAAAAUGCACAAGUAACAGAUGGAUUGGUUCUUCCAUUUAAGCUUACAUGUUCGUUCAUAGUCACAGGGAUUUCCCCUAGGGUGGUUGGUCUUUCCGAGGUGCGGGUGCAUCCCGGCAGUGGCCGCGCCCGCCUCUGCGGUGCUGUCGGCUGCCUCUCCUCCUCCUUCGCCCCCGGCGCUGUCCUUGGUGGCCUCCGCAAAUCCCUGCUUCAUCCGCAACUCCCUGCAGAUGGAAGACGUGCAGAAGAGGCUGCAGCAAGCAGUGGUGGCCUAUACUGGUGGGUGGAAUCAUACCGGCCGGGUCGCUGGGAUCUCGCCUGGAAGGAUGCUCAGCCUGACGAAUCAGCCAUGGAUUGGGCGCCGUGCUGGCCGGUGAACACUUUCUUAUCGGCCUGGAAGGGCUGGGCUGAUGGCGAUGCCAGUAGGGUCUCCGUUUCCUGCCACGGCAUGCAGCUUACUCCUCCAAAAUCACCUGCACCAAAGAAGGCUGCACCAAAGGUCUCCUCAAAUCCAAGCGAUCUUUUCGAGUAAGGUUGGAUUGAAAACUCUGAUUUUUUUGUUGUUGUUUGUACGGAGCAAUUUUUUGGAAGAGAGCUCUGUUCCAUCUACAUCCACCUCCUGCUGUAAGCAAGUUCGGUCAGUGUCUCACACCCUCAAUCCUCUCUAACUCAAGCACUACCGGCAAGCAUGUGCGAGAUAUUAUUGAUCGUGCACAUAUCUCCGAUCCGGUUGAUUUUUAUUAGAAGCGCUGAAACUUCCUAAAACAAUUUAGAGCAUGGAGUAUUGUUUGUCCAGCUUCUGUAAUAGUACUUCGCUCUGGAUUUUUGUGCAUGGCUCAGUGUGGCUCUGUGUUUGCUUACUAAUAAACUAAUAAACUCAGACUUGGAUAGUUGUCAUUUUGAGAAGCUCGCUUACAUGUAUCUUGCCAAAGUAACACCCAUGAAUAGUUAAUCGGGAUGUACGAACUUGUGGAAUUGUACUCUAGAAUGAAGAGUUUUGUUUACAGGAUGGUUGUCGUUUACAGUUUCUAUCUCUCAGUAAGGUCCUGCAUGGUUAUUCCAGUUUUACAGCUAGCCAACUAGCUACUAGGAGCUAUAUGGCGUACUCUCGACUAUAUCCAAAAACAUAUAUGAUUUACUUUAUUAUGUAGUACAAACCAGCUCAGGCAGUGUUCAAAACUCUGCCUACUGAUCAACAAUAAAAAUAUUUGUCCAAUGUAAUGUUUUUUUUCCAAUAUCUUAUUCUUGCCAUUUCUAUUUUUGGAAUCUUGAACUGAUAGCAAAAUAUUUCAGAUAAGGUCCGUUUCAUUUCUGAUACUUAUUCCAGUCACAUUUCUCUGCUAUACGCAUUGAUAAAAGCUUUGGAUUUUUGGACCACAACUAUUUUAUCUCUGGCAAUGCCAUCAGGGCGUCAACUCUCCAUAUUUUGCUAUAUAUAUAAUUUUCCUAAAGUUUCUACUCUACUACAGUUUUCUAAUAAGGAACUAAUUGGUGUUUUCUGUAUAAGUAGCGCUUUUUAUACAUCUAUGACAUCUACCCUUUCUGUUGGUACAGAUUAUCAUCCUUCACCUAUGAUGUUACACAUUAUACUCUUUGAGCAUUACACGUUGCUUCAUUUGGUUGCAUUGGUCCAGUUUUCAUGUCCCGACAUUAGAGCCAGGUAACAAAGGACUUCCAGCUUCAAUUGAAACCCAACUCCGACAACAUGGUAGAUACAAACUACCCGUUCGGAGUUUAACUAUUUGUCAUGCCUCCUUUCUAUGAUCUCCUCUUGAAAUAUAAACUGAUGAGCUAACAUCAUGUUCAUCUAUGAAGAAUGUACGAGUGUAAUGUCUUCCAUUACCCAGAUGUAAAAGUGAUGAUGAAUGAACAAAGUUGCUUCACUUGAAAUAUCAAAUAUAAACACAGUUGUGGUUACGUAUUUUUUUACCGUUGGUCAACCCUUUUUGUUUGGCACCAAUCAUUGUGUCAUUUUCAUUUAUACAUAGACAUCUCUGUGGAUGUUAGUUGAGUUCAUCUAUUAAAUAGAUACUUAGGAUUUAUGUUCACAUGAAAACUGACUUGAAAUAACAGAUUUUUCCAUGGUAAAACAAAUGUUUACAGCAAGUUAUACAUGGAUAUGCCCGCAGCAACGCGUGUGGAAAUCAUCUAGUAUCCUUAAAACACGAGACUUUCCAUUUAAAGUUUAUUUAUGUGCCCUACAACAGCUUUCAUUAGCAUAUGAUCCUCCAUCCUAUCUUUUUGUCCUCCUGUUUCGUAGAGUUCUGUGGGUGACGUUUGUCUAUUGGAGAAUGUGGGAGAAAGGCUGUUCUUCUUAAGUUGCUUACACAUUUGUAGGCCAGCCCCAUAUUUUUGUAUAAGCUAAUCCAUGCUUUCUCAUAUCAACUUUUUUUGUUUGCUCAACGAAUCUUAUUCAUUAAACAACUCCUUAUGAACUAAGUCAAACAUAUAAUUUUGCAGGAAGCUUCAUGGUAUGGGACGGACAACUUCACUGUACCCUUUAUUCCAAGUUAUCUUGCCGAUUGAUGCUAAGCAACUAUGAAAAACUUUUGGCUGACCUAAUUGUUUAUUUCUUAUUGUGUUUGAUGUAUCCACAUUUCAGAAUCCUACAUCAUGCAUAUAGAUGGAUGCAAAUCGUUUAAAUUGCAGAAUUGAAAAUGUAUUAUACAAAUAAAUGUGCACAGGUUGCUUUGUAUCACUAACAAGUACUCCUCCGUCCAAA
Molecule: long non-coding RNA, 5551 nt
Organism: Triticum dicoccoides
Lineage: Eukaryota; Viridiplantae; Streptophyta; Magnoliopsida; Poales; Poaceae
Exons: 2
Source: RefSeq, a predicted model, not a curated record